GAUGAACGCUGACAGAAUGCUUAACACAUGCAAGUCUUUGGCGAAUCUGUGCUUGCACAGGCUAGCCAAGGCGGACGGGUGAGUAACGCGUAAAGAACUUGCCCUGCAGACAGGGAUAACAGACGGAAACGACUGAUAACACCUGAUACAGUUGCCGGCACGCAUGUGCCAGGCAAUGAAAAGAGAUGCUGCAGGCGAGCUUUGCGUCCUAUUAGCUUGUUGGUGAGGUGACGGCUCACCAAGGCGAUGAUAGGUAGCCGGCCUGAGAGGGUGAACGGCCACAAGGGGUCUGAGAUACGGCCCUUGCUCCUACGGGAGGCAGCAGUGGGGAAUAUUGGACGAUGGGGGCAACCCUGAUCCAGCAAUUCUGUGUGCACGAAGAAGGUUUUCGGAUUGUAAAGUGCUUUCAGCAGGGAAGAAGAAAGUGACGGUACCUGCAGAAGAAGCGACGGCUAAAUACGUG
Molecule: ribosomal RNA, 463 nt
Filed under: uncultured bacterium
Lineage: Bacteria
Description: partial 16S ribosomal RNA
Rfam family: Bacterial small subunit ribosomal RNA
Source: RNAcentral